UACAGCUAUCUUUCUCCCAAAUACAUACUUUUUCUUGGCCUAGGAUUUAGAAGUCGACAAUCAAUCUCUUUUAAGAAAAAGAGGUUGACAAUCAAGAAAGUAUUGCAAGGUGUGGUACCUUCAGAGCUGAGUCAAGUUUUCCUGCCAAAGCCAGAAGCAGACUUGUUUUCCCGGAGCCAGGAGGGCCAAGCAGCAAAGACAUUCUGCCCGGUCUUAUGAUUCCACUGAUAUCGUGAAGGAUAGAGAUAGGAAGUAGGAAGCAUCAAGGUGCCUUUCUGCAGAUGAGAUGCAUACCAUGACUUUGUUGGAGAAGAAGUUGGUCAUCGUCGGGACACCUCGGUUGCCGACGUAGGCCUCGGCGUCGAUGUUCAGUCCAAGGACAACUGAAGCAAAGCAAGAGUAGUGGGCGAGUGCUCACCGCUCCAUGCGGUCGCGGAGCUUGAGCAGGAAGCGCUCGUUGUCCUCCUCGGCGGUGCGCACGAGGCGCUCGAUGA
Sorghum bicolor (sorghum) is the source of this 494-nucleotide long non-coding RNA. RefSeq lists it as uncharacterized. Lineage: Eukaryota; Viridiplantae; Streptophyta; Magnoliopsida; Poales; Poaceae. The record is from RefSeq and is a predicted model, not a curated record. The transcript is spliced from 3 exons.